Molecule: unclassified non-coding RNA, 150 nt
Filed under: soil metagenome
Description: partial internal transcribed spacer 1
Source: RNAcentral
CCUAGAGUUGUAGGCUUUGCCUGCCUAUCUCUUACCCAUGUCUUUUGAGUAACCUUCGUUUCCCUCGGCGGGUCCGCCCGGCCCGAUUGGACAAUUUAAUAAAACCAUUUGCAGUUGCAAUCAGCCGUCUGAAAAAAACUUAAUAGUUAC